Molecule: ribosomal RNA, 351 nt
Filed under: uncultured bacterium
Lineage: Bacteria
Description: bacterial SSU rRNA
Rfam family: Bacterial small subunit ribosomal RNA
Source: RNAcentral
AACGAACGCUGGCGGCAGGCUUAACACAUGCAAGUCGAACGCCCCGCAAGGGGGAGUGGCAGACGGGUGAGUAACGCGUGGGAAUCUACCCAGUUCUACGGAACAACUGAGGGAAACUUCAGCUAAUACCGUAUACGCCCUACGGGGGAAAGAUUUAUCGGAAUUGGAUGACGCCCGCGUUGGAUUAGCUAGUUGGUGAGGUAACGGCUCACCAAGGCGACGAUCCAUAGCUGGUCUGAGAGGAUGAUCAGCCACACUGGACUGAGACACGGCCCAGACUCCGUACGGGAGGCAGCAGUGGGGAAUAGUUGGACAAUGGGCGCAAGCCUGAUCCAGCCAUGCCGCGUGAGU